AUUGAAAAUCCCUAUACUCGGCAGAUCCAUCCCCAACGCCCUUAUUCCCUUUCUUCACCAACUUCUUCAGAAACUCUCCUCUGCCUUCUUCUCCAGCCGCCGCUCCUCCUCCGCCGCCUUCCACUCCUCAAGAAUUCUCUCUAGCUCUAGAUCUCUCUCUCGCUCCUUCUCUCUCUAGCCGCUUCUCGCAGUUGCCGACUCCGAUUCUCACUGUCGCCGCUCCCGAUUCUCGUUGCCGCCGCCGAUUCUCGUCGUUGCCGAAAAGCGAGAGACAUCUCUCCUCACCAUCAACACCUCCUCCUUCUUUCGGUUGCUGCAAUUGUUACUCAGCCACCUUCAAGAAGGGAUAGGGGGAAAAAGUUGUUGCUUCUCCAAUAGCACAAUCUGCUCUUGAUAGAAACUUCCCUUCCGACUUUAUUUUCACACCCGAAUGGGCGGGAGAGGAGAUUUUCUUGUCCAACUUAAGAGAAUUGAAGCCAGAACUUUGUAUUACAGCAGCAUAUGGGAAUAUUUUACCUAGGAAAUUUCUCAAUAUACCUCCAUGAGAUGAGAUGUCAAAUUGAUAUGAUAGUUGCACUUUGAUUUGAAGAUCCUUUCUUUGCUUCCUCUUGGGACCCGAAAAGAGAAGAUCUUCCGCCACCGCCACCACUGGCCUCAGUUUGUU
Molecule: long non-coding RNA, 664 nt
Organism: Morus notabilis
Lineage: Eukaryota; Viridiplantae; Streptophyta; Magnoliopsida; Rosales; Moraceae
Exons: 3
Source: RefSeq, a predicted model, not a curated record